UACAGAGGGCUCAAGCGUUGUUCGGAUUCAUUGGGCGUAAAGGGUGCGUAGGCGGCGCGGUAAGUCGGGUGUGAAAUCUUGGAGCUUAACUCCGAAACUGCAUUCGAUACUGCCGUGCUUGAGGACUGGAGAGGAGACUGGAAUUUACGGUGUAGCGGUGAAAUGCGUAGAUAUCGUAAGGAAGACCAGUGGCUAAGGCGGGUCUCUGGACAGUUCCUGACGCUGAGGCACGAAGGCCAGGGGAGCAAACGGG
This 253-nucleotide ribosomal RNA is filed under the name uncultured bacterium. Its description in RNAcentral is "partial 16S ribosomal RNA". It matches the Rfam family "Bacterial small subunit ribosomal RNA", at positions 524 to 776 of the family's 1533-position model. The record is from RNAcentral.